Molecule: non-coding RNA, 113 nt
Filed under: Bacillus sp. (in: firmicutes)
Lineage: Bacteria; Bacillati; Bacillota; Bacilli; Caryophanales; Bacillaceae
Also listed under: 1 other name
Description: Bacillus sp. SAM-I sequence
Rfam family: SAM riboswitch aptamer (S box leader)
About the family: The SAM riboswitch is found upstream of a number of genes which code for proteins involved in methionine or cysteine biosynthesis in Gram-positive bacteria. The SAM riboswitch acts at the level of transcription termination control.
Source: RNAcentral
CUCUUAUCCAGAGCGGCGGAGGGACUAGGCCCAAUGAAGCCCGGCAACCUUCAAGGUAACCCCUUGAAAAGGUGCUAAUUCCUGCAGGUUAUAUUUAACCUGAAAGAUAAGAG